UACGUAGGCAGCGAGCGUUGUUCGGAAUUAUUGGGCGGAAAGGGUGCGUAGGCGGUUUGGUAAGUCUCUUGUGAAAUCUAUGGGCUCAACUCAUAGUCUGCAAGGGAAACUGCCGGGCUUGAGUGUGGGAGAGGUGAGUGGAAUUUCCGGUGUAGCGGUGAAAUGCGUAGAUAUCGGAAGGAACACCUGUGGCGAAAGCGGCUCACUGGACCACAACUGACGCUGAUGCACGAAAGCUAGGGGAGCAAACAGG
RNAcentral lists this ribosomal RNA (253 nucleotides) under uncultured bacterium. RNAcentral describes it as "partial 16S ribosomal RNA". It matches the Rfam family "Bacterial small subunit ribosomal RNA", at positions 524 to 776 of the family's 1533-position model. The record is from RNAcentral.